UGUAAGUAAAUAGAACAAAAGGGUGGAUUAAUGUUUUCAGGUCCAAAACAACGUUUUCCUCAUCUCUCAUGAAUGCUUUCACCAUUUUUCUCAUAACAAAAUCAUCUCUUUCUUAAACAAAUUAACUCCAACACCUCAUAUAUCACGGCAAGAAAAAAAGAAAACGCAUGCGACAAUGAUGAUGAACGAUGUUACCAGCGGUGUGGCGGCUCGGCAGGUCGAGGUGCGUGUGACGAUGCCGGCAAAACGAAAAGGGAGUCCGAGGGAUGAUCGGACGCGAUUGACGGCAACAGAGCCCGUGGUUUCACGCAUUAACGGUAUUCCAUAAAGGUGCGGUUCAUCGGACCUUGUGUGGUUCAGAUGAUACCGUUUUGAAUUUGCAGGAUGGGGUUUUAGAUUCGGAUUGGUUUCGGGAGAUACCAAUUCGACUUAGAUUUUAGUAAUUUCACUAUAUUUUGAUAGUUUGAUUUUCUAAAAGAUAAACAAAUAGAAGUGCUACUGAUGUACUGAUGAUGUAAAGUAAUUUUUGUUUUGCUAAUGAAAUAUGAUUGAAAAAGUAACUAUUUAUUUAGAUAUAA
Long non-coding RNA from Lathyrus oleraceus (garden pea), 578 nucleotides. RefSeq lists it as uncharacterized. Lineage: Eukaryota; Viridiplantae; Streptophyta; Magnoliopsida; Fabales; Fabaceae. The transcript is spliced from 2 exons. The record is from RefSeq and is a predicted model, not a curated record.